GCGACGCGGUGGCGUGCCCCACGUGGCGUCU
This 31-nucleotide small RNA is filed under the name Bombyx mori (domestic silkworm). RNAcentral describes it as "ovarian small RNA-5348". The record is from RNAcentral. Lineage: Eukaryota; Metazoa; Arthropoda; Insecta; Lepidoptera; Bombycidae.